UGAGAGUUGAUGAGAGUUGAGAAGCGAGAGUUUGUAUGAGAGUUUUCAUCAACUCUCAUGCAAACUCUCGCUUCUCAACUCUCAUCAACUCUCAUGCAAACUCUCGCUUCUCAACUCUCAUCAACUCUCAUG
Non-coding RNA from Paramuricea clavata, 132 nucleotides. Lineage: Eukaryota; Metazoa; Cnidaria; Anthozoa; Malacalcyonacea; Plexauridae. The record is from the annotation of a GenBank genome assembly.